CCCUUAGAUGUCCUGGGCCGCACGCGUGCUACACUGACGCCUACAGCGAGUACUUCCCAGCCCCGAGAGGUGGCUGGUAAUCAGCAAUAGGCGUCGUGAUGGGGAUAGAUCUUUGGAAUUAUGGAUCUUGAACGAGGAAUGCCUAGUAAGCGCAGGUCAUUAGCCUGCGCUGAUUAAGUCCCUGCCCUUUGUACACACCGCCCGUCGCUCCUACCGAUUUCGAGUGGUCCGGUGAAUCUUUCGGACUGCGUGCGGCCUCGUGCCGUGUCGCGGAAAGUCAGGUAAACCUUAUCACUUAGAGGAAGGAGAAGUCGUAACA
RNAcentral lists this ribosomal RNA (319 nucleotides) under uncultured eukaryote. RNAcentral's name for it is "partial 18S ribosomal RNA". It matches the Rfam family "Eukaryotic small subunit ribosomal RNA", at positions 1470 to 1796 of the family's 1831-position model. The record is from RNAcentral.